UACCAUGUGUGGACAUAGCAAGAAGGCAGCAUCUGUAAACUAGGAAGGAGGCCCUCACCAGACUUGGAAUCUGCUGGCUUCCUGAUCUUGGCCUUUCUAGCCUCCAGAACUGAACAUGGAUGAAGCUGGAGGCCAUUAUUCUUAGCAAACUAACACAAGAACAGAAAACCAAAUACCGCAUGUUCUCCCUUAUAAGUGGGAGCUACAUGAUGAGAUGAGAACACUGCCCAAAGGAACCAAGUGAAAUUACCAAAUUAGAAGUGAUAAGAGGUUGGACUCUCUCCACAAAUUUAUUGUAAUUAGCAAGAGGUAAUGGUGUCUAAAUAAGAUGAAAGAAGAUAUUUUAAAGAUGAUAAUAACAAAAACUACUAGAAAAAGGUGAAGCCAGAAAGGAAGAGUCAUAAUCAAAGAGAGUGAUCAAGAAUCCAAAAUAGACAGAGAGAGCAGGCUCUUAGAGAAAUGGGAGAACUACAACACUGACUCUGCACGUAGGAGGCAGGCAGGAGAGGAGCGCCCCAGCCAGAGUUCAACAUGCACAAACAGGAAGUGUGUCCAAGGUUCUCUGGAGCUCACAGGAAGCCGGGGACCGACAGC
Molecule: long non-coding RNA, 594 nt
Organism: Symphalangus syndactylus (siamang)
Lineage: Eukaryota; Metazoa; Chordata; Mammalia; Primates; Hylobatidae
Source: RefSeq, a predicted model, not a curated record